AGAACGAACGCUGGCGGCAUGCCUAAUACAUGCAAGUCGAACGAACUCUUCGGAGUUAGUGGCGCACGGGUGCGUAACGCGUGGGAAUCUGCCCCUUGGUUCGGAAUAACAGUUGGAAACGACUGCUAAUACCGGAUGAUGACGAAAGUCCAAAGAUUUAUCGCCAAGGGAUGAGCCCGCGUAGGAUUAGCUAGUUGGUGAGGUAAAGGCUCACCAAGGCAACGAUCCUUAGCUGGUCUGAGAGGAUGAUCAGCCACACUGGGACUGAGACACGGCCCAGACUCCUACGGGAGGCAGCAGUAGGGAAUAUUGGACAAUGGGCGAAAGCCUGAUCCAGCAAUGCCGCGUGAGUGAUGAAGGCCUUAGGUUGUAAAGCUCUUUUACCCGAGAUGAUAAUGACAGUAUCGGGAGAAUAAGCCCCGGACUAACUCCGUGCCAGCAGCCGU
RNAcentral lists this ribosomal RNA (446 nucleotides) under uncultured soil bacterium. Its description in RNAcentral is "bacterial SSU rRNA". It matches the Rfam family "Bacterial small subunit ribosomal RNA", at positions 26 to 518 of the family's 1533-position model. The record is from RNAcentral.